Harpia harpyja (harpy eagle) is the source of this 2116-nucleotide long non-coding RNA. RefSeq lists it as uncharacterized. The record is from RefSeq and is a predicted model, not a curated record. NCBI's taxonomy places the organism in Eukaryota, Metazoa, Chordata, Aves, Accipitriformes, Accipitridae. The transcript has 3 exons.
UCAAGGCAAGGUGAUAUUCCCUCAUUAAAAUCUAUUUGUGCAAAGUUAAGAUGUCAAAGAAAUUUCACUUCUUCCAAGAGGGUAUGAAAGCCCAUGUUAUUAGUGAUCAGAAGGGACUUGGGAGUCCUAUUUGCCAAAGAGGAGGGUGUAGUGAAAGAAAGGAGAAGAAAAAAAAAUUGUAUUUGAGCAUUGAAUGUUAUCUAAGAAGAAUAAUGAAUUCAGCUGCCUUAAAACAACAACUUUUGUUACCCAAGUACAGAUCAUAGAAAAUAUUUUUAAGGAAAAAAGUCUUCCGAAUGUGGGCUGAGAUUCUGCAUGCAGUUUUUCAAGCCAUACUGCUGCACACAGAGACACCCACAGUUCCAAGGGUAACCAACCUUGUACCACUUCACCCAUUUUCAUAGAGGGUGAAUGAGGUUGCUAAAGACCAGAUUAUUAAUUCUUAGAUUAUCCAGAUGUAUGCUUUUGUGGAUGGUGUGUGCCCCAGAACCGUGGUAUCACAGGCAGGAUUAGAAUGAGGUUUAGCAUUAAAUCUGGCACUUCUUUUCGUAUUUUCAUAGCUCAAGGAUGACAGCAUCAGGGGUUUUUACAAUCCAUGAACCAAACACUCCUCAGAUGCAAACCAUUUUGUGGUUGUUGGGGGGUUGGCCUUUUAGAUGCAGGGGUUUUGGCAGAAUCAGCAUUUGCAUCUGUGUUCAAAGUUGCCUGAGCAGAGAUGUGGCGAGGAGCGCCAUGUGGUCAGCCUGCCCUUAACUGCUAGGGAUUGGAGGGGAAAUGAGUCUGGGCCUUCGAUUCUGCACUUCAUGAUGUAUUAGCCAUCUGCAACAGUUGGAAGAACUGCUAAAAAUACUAGCCUGAGGUACUAAUAAUCCUGCCUCCAGGAAAAGUAGCUUUGGCUGAUGGUGGGGCAUGCAAGUGAGCCAGACUGCAAAAUUUAGCAGCAUUUCUGGACACCACGUGCCAGCAGUGACCCUUUUCUGUGCCUCUUUCCAAGUGCCAUACUCCUCGACAGGAUCUGCCGUGGGACCCGCUUGUGAAACUCAGCCCGUGCUCCAGAGAGAGCAGCCGUGUUGCAGCGGGGAGGGGGUGGCAGCAGACGAGACUGCAGCAGCACACACAAAAAUGGAGUUAGGAUAGAAAUCAGCAGAAAUCUCCUAUCUCUGCCUAGGCUGGCCUGUCCAUCUGUUUUGACAGCUCCUUUUAUCACUAGUAACCAUGUGAAGUAUGAGCACAUUAAAAGAUCACGGCUCUUAUUUGGAGUAGGGUCCUGCGAAGAGCUGAGCUGCUCCGUGUCCUGUCGCAGGGGAAGGGAGUUCAGGGCACAUUAUUUCUCCAAGGCUGGAGCCUUUGGCUGCCUCCUGGUUUGUGUGCCAGCACGAUCAGCAAUCGAACACAGCCGAGGGGAUCGCAGAGUCCAGGCAUGUACCGCUGCUCAGGAAUUUGUGCUCCCUCUGUUGGCUGGCUGGCUCUGGAGCAGUGGAGGAAAAAAAAAAAAAAUGUUAUUACGUUAUGUCAGGCAGAAAGAAUUUCUCUACUUUUAAUUGCCUGGUGCCCAGCAAGCCAAUUUUGGAGGGCACUAUCAAAAUAAAGGGCCUAUGGCUUCAAGAAUGUGACUACCCAACUGCUUCUGAUUUGGUGUGUUGUGGAUAACUCAGGGAAUUAGACCUCGAUUCAUUUAAAUGCUUCUGUCUGGGGUAUGUGUCUAUGUGGGAGAAACAGUGUGAAGCCAGGGUGGGUGGGCUCAGGUCUGUGUAAAUCUGAGCAGCUUCAGGAGCCGCUCCAGCACAUCCCUGGGGCAAAGAGCCUUCAUGGUGCAUGGCAGCCAGACGUGUCCCCAAAUUUGUCAUCUGUGCUUUGGGUCUGUUUGUGGAGAUGGUGCAAAGCCUUGUGCUUGGCGUGUGCCUCUGUGGUGAUGCUGUCAGCUCAUCCGCAGCUUGCCUCCACACACACUUGCAGCAGAAAUGGGUCUGCCUCUCUCCCCCACACCUGCACCUCCCACCCCACGAGUGUGUAAGUGAUGGCACGGGGAAGAAGACAACACAGGCCCAUACAGACAUGUAUUUCAUAUAGCUUCCCAUGUAUCAUAUCAUCUCUGCCGAUUAAUGCGGUGCAAUCA